CUUUAUUAAAGCAAAAAUAAAGGCCGACAUAUCCUCAACAUAACCAUGUAUAAUAUCCACAAAACUUAAAAAGAGGUUAUACACACACAAUACGGUAAUAUUAUGUUGAAGCACAGUAUGUAUCACUCCGCGAGGCUCCUGCCUACGAUAGCCGUAAUGCUCCGACAAUCCAUCAAGCGGUGAGCGACGUGUACAUAAAAUCGUUUCGAGGGAUGAAAUGAUGGACCACACUCCCUGCAUCAUGACUGUAAGCUCUCUGCACAGCAUCCAUGAUAAACACAGACAGCAAAGAAGACAGCAUCUUCCUCCACAGAUGAACACAGAGGGCUAUAACACUGUAACACUACAGAUCUGUGUCCUGGUCACGUGUGCAACUGGUGUUCGUGUGUCAGUCUCUGGGUGUGUCUGCAGUGUGCUGCUGCAUGUGUCUGACUGAG
Long non-coding RNA from Oreochromis aureus, 437 nucleotides. The record is from Ensembl. NCBI's taxonomy places the organism in Eukaryota, Metazoa, Chordata, Actinopteri, Cichliformes, Cichlidae.